CCUACGGGCGGCAGCAGUAGGGAAUCUUCCACAAUGGGCGAAAGCCUGAUGGAGCAACGCCGCGUGGGUGAAGAAGGUCUUCGGAUCGUAAAACUCUGUUGUUAGAGAAGAAAGUGCGUGAGAGUAACUGUUCACGUUUCGACGGUAUCUAACCAGAAAGCCACGGCUAACUACGUGCCAGCAGCCGCGGUAAUACGUAGGUGGCAAGCGUUAUCCGGUUUUAUUGGGCGUAAAGGGAGCGCAGGCGGUCUUUUAAGUCUGAUGUGAAAGCCUUCGGCUUAACCGGAGUAGUGCAUUGGAAACUGGGGGACUUGAGUGCAGAAGAGGAGAGUGGAACUCCAUGUGUAGCGGUGAAAUGCGUAGAUAUAAGGAAGAACACCAGUGGUGAAAGCGGCUCUCUGGUCUGUAACUGACGCUGAGGUUCGAAAGCGUGGGUAGCAAACAGGAUUAGAUACCCCAGUAGUC
Molecule: ribosomal RNA, 465 nt
Filed under: uncultured bacterium
Lineage: Bacteria
Description: partial 16S ribosomal RNA
Rfam family: Bacterial small subunit ribosomal RNA
Source: RNAcentral